AUGGCACAUGAUUUGAUACCACUAAAGGAUGGUGACAAUCUUGAAAAGGCAGGCAGAGAAAUUUUCGACGAGCUAACUUGGCGAUCAUUCUUUCAAGAGGUCAAGCUAAACCCCCUAAAACUGAAUCUGAAUGCAAAAUACUGGGGGGAGAUCCGUUCUAGAACAGUAUGCAGGAUACAUGAUCUUAUGCAUGACAUUGCCUUGUCUGUUAUGGGAAAAGAUUGUCUUACUAUAGUUGACAGGCCUAAUGAAAAUCAGUUGUUGUCAGCAGGCCCUACUCGCCACUUGUUCUCAUCAUAUAAGUAUAUCCAAACUCUUUUGGAUGCUUAUCUGAAGAAACACUCUCCUGCUCUUCAGACACUGUUGUAUACAGAUAGCUUCACUCGUGGCUCGACACCUCAUUUGUCGAAUCACAGCCAUCUGCGAGCAUUGCAACUCUUUCAAGAGUGCAAAUGGAAAAAGGCACCCCAACCGAGGCACCUACAACACCUGAGGUAUCUUGAUAUCUCAAAGCACCAUUAUAUGAACGAACUUCCCAAGGAAAUAAGCACACUGUAUAAUCUACAGACCCUUAAUCUUACUGGUUGCCGGAAUCUUGGUCGACUUCCAAAGGAUAUGAAGUAUAUGACAAAUCUCCGCAACCUCUAUACAAAUGGAUGCAUAUCAUUGAAGUGCAUGUCUCCAGAACUCGGGCAACUCACUUCUCUGCAGACCCUAACAUACUUUGUGGUGGGUUCCAGUCCUGAUUGCAGUACUAUUGGAGAACUAAGGGAUUUAAAUCUUGGUGGUGAAUUAAAACUUGCUGGUCUUCAGUAUGUAACUGAACAAGACGCUAGAGCAUGCAGUCUUGGAAAUAAAGAGAAACUCACACAUUUAUCUCUUGAAUGGAGCGAUGAUGGCAGUGAAGAACUGGACCAGCACAGGAAUGUGCUUGAUGCUCUUAAACCUCAUGUUGCACUGGAGUUUUUACAAAUAAACUCCUAUAAAGGUAUUGGAUUCCCAGCAUGGGUGGCAGAUCUUACUUUACUGCAGCAUUUGACCAAGCUCCACCUAGAUGGUUGUACAAUGUGUGAGGAAUUUCCCCAAUUCAGUCAAUUUAAGGCCCUUGAAGUUCUUGUUUUGAAAAGGUUGAACAUGCUGCAAAGCCUAUGUAGUCACAAUGCAUCUGCAGCAUUUCCAGCAUUAAAAGACCUCAUAUUAAAUCAUUUGGAGAAUUUUGAGAGAUGGGUGGCAACAGAAGGAGAAGAGUUAACAUUUCCUCUACUUGAGAAUGUUAAAAUUAAGGACUGCCCAAAGCUAACAACUCUAGCUGAAGCACCAAAAAUCAAAGUUAUAAAGGUAGAAGAAGGCAAUUCUCAACUAUCCUUAUCAAUAUUUGGAUCCAGGUACAUGUCUUGCUUGUCUGAAUUAUCCCUGUCAGUCGAUGAUACUGAAGCAACACCGACACUGAAGCUUGAUCAGGAUUGUGAAGUAUCUCUUUUGGAAAUGUCAUUAAAUGGUUUCAACUUUUUGUUCCCCUCAUGCGCAUCACAGCCAGCAGUUGGGGUCUGGAAAUGCUUUGGUCAGCUUUUGGAGUUGAAAAUUGGCUCUUGUGAUAUGCUCAUCUACUGGCCUGAAGAAGAGUUCCGAAGCUUGGUAUCAUUGAAGAGUUUCUGCAUUGAGAACUGCAGCAAUCUAACAGGCCCCGCCAAUGUGACAGGAUACCAUACUCGAGGAAGGGAUCAACUCCUGCCAAAUCUAAAAGAUCUAUCCAUAUAUGAAUGUGGAAGCUUGGAAGAGCUUUUCGUUCUUCCCCCAUCUCUCACGAGUAUUGGCAUUCGAGACUGCGGUAGUCUUGAGUCCAUUCUGGGGCAGGAUAACAGAGAGUUGGAGAGUGUACAACACUUUGAUAGAACAGUAUCGUCAGAACACUGCAGUACAAGUAUGCCAGAGCAAUCACCUUCACCCAGAAUUAAUUCAUUGCCAUUUCUCGGGUCAUUAUAUAUAAAUGACUGUAACAAUCUUCGUUUCGUGCCAGCGCAGUUGGAUGCACUCGUAUAUCUGUAUAUUAAGGCUUGCAAUGAUCUGGAGUCGCUGGAUUGUUUGGGAGACCUACCGUUAAUGGAAUCACUACAUCUUGAGGGAUGCAGACAUUUGGUAUCUGUACCAGGUAGUGAUGGGAACUACCCAGCCCUUCGGAUGCUAACUAUUAGAUACUGCCCAGCUAUAAAUAUGAAGCCACUUUAUCGGUGCCUCCAGCAACGGCUCGGUAGCCUUGAAACCAAGGAUCUAUCUGAUGCUAGUUCACGUGAUCCUGAAGAAGGUACCUUUAAAGUUCCUUUUACUCCAUUUAGUUUCCCGUUUCUCACCUUGUCUAUUGUGUUACAAAUGUACACCUUGCAGCCUGUAGUUUCAAGUUUUAUCCAAUCAUACUUGUAUUUUCGCUUUUGGGAACACAUUUGGUUUGUCUGUUUUUUUUUAAUUUCAAUGUCAAGAAGGUUGUGA
RNAcentral lists this ribosomal RNA (2484 nucleotides) under Triticum aestivum (bread wheat). Its description in RNAcentral is "partial small subunit ribosomal RNA". The record is from RNAcentral. Lineage: Eukaryota; Viridiplantae; Streptophyta; Magnoliopsida; Poales; Poaceae.